AUUGAACGCUGGCGGCAGGCUUAACACAUGCAAGUCGAGCGGAGAUGAGGUGCUUGCACCUUAUCUUAGCGGCGGACGGGUGAGUAAUGCUUAGGAAUCUGCCUAUUAGUGGGGGACAACAUUCCGAAAGGAAUGCUAAUACCGCAUACGUCAUACGGGAGAAAGCAGGGGAUCUUCGGACCUUGCGCUAAUAGAUGAGCCUAAGUCGGAUUAGCUAGUGGGUGGGGUAAAGGCCUACCAAGGCGACGAUCUGUAGCGGGUCUGAGAGGAUGAUCCGCCACACUGGGACUGAGACACGGCCCAGACUCCUACGGGAGGCAGCAGUGGGGAAUAUUGGACAAUGGGGGGAACCCUGAUCCAGCCAUGCCGCGUGUGUGAAGAAGGCCUUAUGGUUGUAAAGCACUUUAAGCGAGGAGGAGGCUACUGAGACUAAUACUCUUGGAUAGUGGACGUUACUCGCAGAAUAAGCACCGGCUAACUCUGUGCCAGCAGCCGCGGUAA
RNAcentral lists this ribosomal RNA (501 nucleotides) under uncultured bacterium. Its description in RNAcentral is "partial 16S ribosomal RNA". It matches the Rfam family "Bacterial small subunit ribosomal RNA", at positions 30 to 523 of the family's 1533-position model. The record is from RNAcentral.